GCGAUUUAUCCGAUACCAGCCCUAACUGGGGAAACUCUCCAGCUAUACAUGCACCACAAGUUCCACCCGCAAGGAAAGAGCGCAUUUAUUAGAACAAAACCAAGCGGCUUCGGCCGUCCAUUGUUGACUCAGAAUAACUAAGCUGAUCGGACGGUCUUGUACCGACGACGUGUCUUUCAAGUUUCUGCCUUAUCAACUUUCGAUGGUAGUGUAUCUGACUACCAUGGUGGUGACGGGUAACGGAGGAUAAGGGUUCGACUCCGGAGAAGGGGCCUGAGAAAUGGCCACUACGUCUAAGGAUGGCAGCAGGCGCGCAAAUUACCCACUCUCAAUGCGAGGAGGUAGUGACGAGAAAUAACGAGGCCGUUCUCUUUKAGGGCGGCCCUCGGAAUGGGUACCAUUUAAACCCUUUAACCAGUAUCUAUAAGAAGGCAAGUCUGGGGCCAGCAGCCGCGGUAAUUCCCGCUCUCAAAAUGCAUAAAAUUAUUGCUGCGGGUAAAAAGCUCGUAGUUGGAUCUGGGCCUGUGCUCCGGGCCACCUCCAGGAGCGCACUGGGUGUCACACGCUUUCCUGCAGUGUUCAGCCCCGGCGCCUUCACCGGCACCCGUGUGUUGAUGCUGCCAGUUUACUUUGAACAAAUCGGAGUGCUCCAAACAGGGGUUUGCUUUAACGUGCGCGCGUGGGAUAAUAUAAGAGGAUUUCGGUCAAUUUUUAUAGGGUUUAUAGGGCGAGAUAAUGGGUAACACAGACAAACGGGGGCAUUUGUAUUGCUGCAUGAGAGGUGAAAUUCUCUGGACCGUAGCAGACAUCUAUCCGCGCAAAGGAUUGCCAAGAAAUGUGCUUCAUUAAUCAAGAACCAAAGUCACAGGUCGAAGCGAUAAAAAUCCGCCCA
This 892-nucleotide ribosomal RNA is filed under the name Pratylenchus thornei. RNAcentral's name for it is "SSU rRNA". It matches the Rfam family "Eukaryotic small subunit ribosomal RNA", at positions 122 to 1032 of the family's 1831-position model. The record is from RNAcentral. Lineage: Eukaryota; Metazoa; Nematoda; Chromadorea; Rhabditida; Pratylenchidae.